UACGGAGGGGGCUAGCGUUGUUCGGAAUUACUGGGCGUAAAGCGCACGUAGGCGGCUUUGUAAGUCAGGGGUGAAAGCCCGGAGCUCAACUCCGGAAUUGCCUUUGAGACUGCAUCGCUUGAAUCACGGAGAGGUGGGUGGAAUUCCGAGUGUAGAGGUGAAAUUCGUAGAUAUUCGGAAGGAACACCAGUGGCGAAGGCGACUUACUGGACACAUAUUGACGCUGAGGUGCGAAAGCGUGGGGAGCAAACAGG
RNAcentral lists this ribosomal RNA (254 nucleotides) under uncultured bacterium. RNAcentral's name for it is "partial 16S ribosomal RNA". It matches the Rfam family "Bacterial small subunit ribosomal RNA", at positions 524 to 776 of the family's 1533-position model. The record is from RNAcentral.